AUUUCGUUCGUGCAUCCGUGUUAACGCAAUGUUCUCCGCGGUAUGUGUGUUAUUCGUGAACGCAAUCGGAUCGAGUCCUCAUCAACGCAGUUUAACGCGACUGUAAGUAAAGGGAAGCAGCGGGCGCCUUCACCGGUGCGGCCCUCGGCGAUCGCUUUGUUUGUAUAUGUCGCGCGCACGGUUAAACUUUUGAUUACCGUGGUUGCGCGUUGUCGCAGUGCAAUGAUGAUUAUAUGCCAGUGCUCAUCGUGAAACUGCACAAACCGCGUCUCUACUGAUGGAGCUGCCACGUACGUACACGGCGGCGCCCGAGAAGACCUUUUCUGAAGAGAAUGCGCGCCUGGCGAUUGUCACUUGCAGUCGCAACUUUUGCAAAGAAAUGUCCCACAUCACAGCUCCCGUCAAACACUGUAGUGCCUUCUCCAAAGCUAUCUUCGGUAGCAAUACAUUUCCCUCAGAAGUGAAAUGAAGGUGCUUGAGUGGCAGCGGGCCUCCAUGGGGCGGUGCAGACAGGGGAGUGUCAUUGCUGGAGCACCUCCUGGCUAUCCACAGGAAAUGAAAAAAAAAACAUGCUGCUGACAUGUUCUCAUGAAGCCCAUGCCGACACAUGAAGCACAUCAUCCAGUCGCUGCUUGUGUUGAAGUUUGUAGUUGGAAUGCCC
This is a long non-coding RNA of Dermacentor silvarum, 661 nucleotides long. RefSeq lists it as uncharacterized. The transcript has 4 exons. Lineage: Eukaryota; Metazoa; Arthropoda; Arachnida; Ixodida; Ixodidae. The record is from RefSeq and is a predicted model, not a curated record.